AUGGCUUGUUCUGAUGGUGAGGCUGAGCACCAAUGGAUACAGAGUGUCAAGUCAGGAGGAGCAGUUCCUUGUCUACCGCCCGAAAACUGUCCUAAUGGUUGGGCUACUCCUCCUGGUGACACUUUUAUGGUCAGAGGCCCAGAAUAUUUUGCAACCAAGGCAAAAAUACCUGGUGGGGAGUAUCUUCUGAAGCCUCUUGGAGUUGAUUGGAUCAAAGGCCCAGUAAAAAUCUGUGAGGUCCUGAAAAACAGGAACCAUCGUGUGAGGAAAGCCAUCGAUGAGGAGGUUUCUCACGGCAAUAAACCUUUUGUCUGGGCCUUCAACUUGCAACUGCCCAGCAAGGAGAACUACAGCGCGAUAUUUUACUUUGUCUCACUGGAACCUGCACCCGAGGGCUCGCUGAUGGAUCAAUUCCUUAAAGGGGACGAUGCUCUCCGUAAAUCCAGGCUUAAACUGAUAGCAAACAUAGUUAAGGGGCCCUGGAUUGUCCGAAAAGCUGUGGGUGAACAAGCCAUCUGCAUACUUGGCAGAGCACUUUCGUGCAAGUAUGUCGAGGGAUCAAACUUCAUCGAAGUUGAUGUGGAUAUUGGGUCUUCCAUAGUUGCAAAUGCAAUUGUUCAUCUGGCAUUUGGUUACGUGGCGACACUGACUAUAGAUUUAGCAUUUGUUAUUGAGAGUCAAGCUGAAUCAGAGCUCCCCGAGAGACUUCUUGGAGCUGUAAGGUUCUCUGAGUUGAGUCCGGGAUCAGCUGGUGUGUACGAAGUGCCAUCUGAAGAGCAGCAGGAAAUUGCUCCAAUUCUGCCUUCAAGAUUAUGGCGGAGUUUUACCCAACUGCUACAGAACCCAGGCAACUCAAUGCAGCCGUCGCCUAGCUCAGAAAACACUAAUGGAAACUUUCACAAGGAAGAUGCUGGUAACAACGAUAAUUGA
This 930-nucleotide ribosomal RNA is filed under the name Triticum aestivum (bread wheat). RNAcentral describes it as "partial small subunit ribosomal RNA". Lineage: Eukaryota; Viridiplantae; Streptophyta; Magnoliopsida; Poales; Poaceae. The record is from RNAcentral.